RNAcentral lists this ribosomal RNA (555 nucleotides) under Gadus chalcogrammus (walleye pollock). RNAcentral's name for it is "partial 16S ribosomal RNA". It matches the Rfam family "Bacterial large subunit ribosomal RNA", at positions 1851 to 2606 of the family's 2925-position model. Lineage: Eukaryota; Metazoa; Chordata; Actinopteri; Gadiformes; Gadidae. The record is from RNAcentral.
GGUCCCGCCUGCCCUGUGACUAUAAGUUUAACGGCCGCGGUAUUUUAACCGUGCGAAGGUAGCGUAAUCACUUGUCUUUUAAAUGAAGACCUGUAUGAAUGGCAUCACGAGGGCUUAGCUGUCUCCCAUCUCCAGUCAAUGAAAUUGACCUCCCCGUGCAGAGGCGGGGAUAAUUACAUAAGACGAGAAGACCCUAUGGAGCUUUAGACCUAAAGUAAGUCACGUUUAACAUGCUAAAAUAACAGAAAAAACUUAGUGAUAUUUACUGAAGUGUCUUUGGUUGGGGCGACCGCGGGGUAAAACACAACCCCCAUGUGGACCGGGGAUAUUAUCCCUAAUACUCAGAGCCUCUACUCCAAGUAACAGAAAUUCUGACUUUUCUGAUCCGGUAUAACCGAUCAACGAACCGAGUUACCCUAGGGAUAACAGCGCAAUCCCCUCUCAGAGCCCAUAUCGACGAGGGGGUUUACGACCUCGAUGUUGGAUCAGGACAUCCUAAUGGUGCAGCCGCUAUUAAGGGUUCGUUUGUUCAACGAUUAAAGUCCUACGUGAUCU